UACAGAGGGUGCUAGCGUUGUUCUGAAUCAUUGGGCGUAAAGGGCGUGUAGGCGGUUUGUUAAGUCAUGUGUGAAAUCCCUCGGCUCAACCGGGGAACGACGCAUGAAACUGGUAAGCUAGAGUACCAAAGAGGGGGGUGGAAUUCCAGGUGUAGCAGUGAAAUGCGUAGAGAUCUGGAGGAACACCGAUGGCGAAGGCAGCCCCCUGGGUUAGCACUGACGCUCAUACACGAAAGCGUGGGGAGCAAACAGG
Molecule: ribosomal RNA, 253 nt
Filed under: uncultured prokaryote
Description: partial 16S ribosomal RNA
Rfam family: Bacterial small subunit ribosomal RNA
Source: RNAcentral